AUGACCACAAGAAACUUUCAGUCGGACAUGCAAAGACUUCUUAGCACCCUCUUCGAUGGGCUAGAAUUACGUGCACGAAAAGGUAUUGACUGGCUCACAAGAUCACGCUGCAGCAUAGCCACAAGAAAACAAAGUUGGGAGCUGUGCAAGGCGUGCCGGAAGAUCAUGGGCAUCUUGCCGGUGAUCUAUGUACUACUCCCUUUGUUGGUACUCGAGUCACUAGGAAAGCUAAAUGCGCUAUCAUCUGGAGUUGUAACAAGCCACAACCCCGGAGGGGAUUGGGUGCAACCAUCACAUGGCACGCUCGACGGUUGCCCCAAGAGCUGCGGCAAUGUGAGCUUUGGCUACCCCUUCGGCAUCGGAUCCAGGUGUUCCCGGGGGCCUGACUUCAACCUCACCUGCAACAACACCUCUCAUCCCCCCAGACUAUUCUUGAGGGACGAUAUCACCGAGGUGAUCCACUUUGAUGACCCUUUUUUCAAUAUAAACUUCAUCAAGGCCUCCUUCUCGCAUACCAUCCCCAUACAACCUGGUGUCAGUGUUUACAACUUGUCUUUGGUACCUCCUGGGAGGUCCUUCUCUCUCGGGGCCGCUGUUCUAAACAUUACCGGCUGUGGCCUGGAUGUAUACUCUGUCGGAGACGAUGCCACCACAUUAAAAUGCAGCACCGAGUGCCUGGAUCCAGGAAUUCCAGAGAUGGUGGCUAUGCACAACUGUAAAAAUACCUCCGGGUGUUGUCGUGUUGAUGUGGACGGUGACGGCAGUUUUCGGUUCAAAUUUGUCUACAACCAAAGCAAAAGCAACAUUGGUGCACGCUCUAGGAAGAGCUCACAACUAUAA
This 840-nucleotide ribosomal RNA is filed under the name Triticum aestivum (bread wheat). RNAcentral describes it as "partial small subunit ribosomal RNA". Lineage: Eukaryota; Viridiplantae; Streptophyta; Magnoliopsida; Poales; Poaceae. The record is from RNAcentral.